UACGAAGGGGGCGAGCGUUGUUCGGAAUUACUGGGCGUAAAGGGCGCGCAGGCGGUCCUUCAAGUCAGAUGUGAAAGCCCCGGGCUCAACCUGGGAACUGCAUUUGAGACUGGAGGACUUGAGGACGGGAGAGGAGAGUGGAAUUCCCAGUGUAGAGGUGAAAUGCGUAGAUAUCAGGAGGAACACCGGUGGUGUAGACGGCUUUCUGGACCGUAACUGACGCUGAGACACGAAAGCGUGGGUAGCAAACAGG
RNAcentral lists this ribosomal RNA (253 nucleotides) under uncultured bacterium. RNAcentral describes it as "partial 16S ribosomal RNA". It matches the Rfam family "Bacterial small subunit ribosomal RNA", at positions 524 to 776 of the family's 1533-position model. The record is from RNAcentral.